RNAcentral lists this long non-coding RNA (2092 nucleotides) under Gossypium barbadense (sea-island cotton). RNAcentral's name for it is "long non-coding RNA (GBAR_LNC017389)". Lineage: Eukaryota; Viridiplantae; Streptophyta; Magnoliopsida; Malvales; Malvaceae. The record is from RNAcentral.
UUGUUUCUAUAGAAAAUAGACUCAUUAAGGAAUCUAAGCAUGUAAAUUUCAACUCAUAACCAUUUUUGUACAAUUUGUAAUUAUUUUCUAAACUCAGAACAGGGGACUCCAAAAACAGUUCUGACCCUAUCUUACUAAAAUUCACAUAUCUUAAAAUAUAAAUUUCUUUUCUCUACACCGUUAUUUUUCCAUGAAAAUAGACUCAACAAGCUUUAAUUCCAUAUAUCAUUCACCCUCUAAUUCAUUUUAUACUAUCUUGGGUGAUUUUUCAAAUUCACGUCACUAUUGCUGCCUGAAUUCUGUUUCUUUGCAAAAUUUUACCAUUUUAUGACUUUCAUACCUAAUUUAUCACUUAGACUUUUAUAACAAUAAUUAACUUCAUCCUUGACCAUUUAAACAACCAUUCAUCAUCAAAUACUUACACAUCAUUCUAUAGUGAAAUCAUAUUUACAAAUAUACAAAAUUACUAAAUUCCUAUACAUGCCAUAACUAAAAGAAAUGUUCACCACCACAAUUAGCUCAGAAUCGGCUUUGGAUGCUGAUUCAACAAUCCGACUUUGACCUAACCUGCGCACGGAAACAACCGUACGCUGAGUAUGGAAAUACUCAGUGGUAUUACCAUAAUUCGAAUUAAUAACAUUAAUCGAUAAAUUAUAUACAUUUUAUUUAUGUCUACAAUUAUUCAUUAAUUAUCUCAUGCAUUAAAUCAACUUGAUAAUUAAUAACAAUAAGCUAUAAUUCAAAUCUUGUAUUUAAUUGUAUUCAUACCUUAUUUCACUAUCUCAAUUCCAUUGGAUUUUUCUUUACAUCUCAUUCCAAUAGUUCAUUUCAAUUCAUAUACAAUUCAUUUCAUUUAAUUUAUAUUCAAUAUAAAUUUUAUUGCAAUUUGUACUCACUAAUAUCAUAUAACAAAAUUUACUCUUUAUCACAUCAUGAACUUUGGGCUCAUAUCUUUAAAUCUCUUAUUUCGAUUUCCAAUUCACACAUCAAUUCACAACUUCACUUUUUCGUUUCUUCCCAUAGCUCAAUCAAUCACAUUUAUUCAAUUUUCUCAUUUCAAUUAUUUACCCCUAUUAACAAGACUCGGACCUUGGCGGAUACACGGAUCCAACCAAACACACCAAAAUGGCACCCAGUGCCUCAUCGGAUAGUUCGAAGCAAUAGUUGACACCCAGUGUCUCAUCGGCCCAGCCGAAGUAAAGUUGGUACCCAGUACCUCAUCGAAUCUAUCCGAAGAAAUAUAGUGACACCCAGUGUCUCAUCGACUCAAGGUCGAAGUAUCCCUGAACUCUUCCAAUCCUAUGGCAUGCCAACUAUAUCCGACUCAGCCCGACUAGUUAAUAGGGUUUCCGAAUCACAUUUCAAUUCAAUCACUUUCUCAUACUUUCAAUUCAAAUCAUUCCCAUUUAAUCACCAUUUGUUUCAAUACAUUUUUCUAUUUCAAAUUCACUUUCGAUUUAAUCGCAAUUCAACUCAGAUUCACUUCCCACUUUCAAAUCAAUAUACAAUUCAAUACCAAUACAUAUUUCAGAUAUUCACAUAUAAUCAUACUUCGAUUCAAUUCAAACCACUUUUCAAUCAAUACACAAUUCACAUAUUCACAUAUCUCAAUUUAAUAUCUCAUUUAUUCAAUUCAUAUUUUAAUUCAUUCAAUUAAAUAUUGAUAUUCUCCUUAUUUUUAUUUACUAACAUAUUAUUCAAAAUUCAAUAAUUACUGUCAAUAAAUUCAAUAUCAAUACGUAUAUAUAUUAUUCAAUUCAAUUAUGAAACUCACCUCAAUUUGCUUAUCGUGUAUAUUAAUUUAAUUUUCAACGAUUAAUAAUUAAAUUCGAAUUAUAGUAAUACUAACCGUAAUUUCUCUCGAGUCACUCCUUGUCCACUUUCUCCUUUCCUUUCUCGGACAAUGACUCGUACACGACAUUAGCAAAUUACUUUGAACCUUAAAACCCCAAAUUUCCCUUUUUCUUUUCUUUUCUUUCUUUCUUUCCUUCCUUCCUUCUCUGUUUCGUUUUGCUCUCUGUUUCUUUCUUUCUCCCUUCUCUGUUUUGUUUUGCUCUCUGUUUCUUUUCUUUCUUUGUCAUAUAUAUAUAUA